UUGUCCGGAAUUACUGGGCGUAAAGAGCUCGUAGGUGGUUUGUCGCGUUGUUCGUGAAAACUCACAGCUUAACUGUGGGCGUGCGGGCGAUACGGGCAGACUAGAGUACUGCAGGGGAGACUGGAAUUCCUGGUGUAGCGGUGGAAUGCGCAGAUAUCAGGAGGAACACCGGUGGCGAAGGCGGGUCUCUGGGCAGUAACUGACGCUGAGGAGCGAAAGCGUGGGGAGCGAACAGGAUUAGAUACCCUGGUAGUCCACGCCGUAGACGGUGGGUACUAGGUGUGGGUUCCUUCCUUCGGGAUCCGUGCCGUAGCUAACGCAUUAAGUACCCCGCCUCGGGAGUACGGCCGCAAGGGCUAAAACUCAAAGGAAUUGACGGGGGCCCGGCACAAGCCGGCGGAGCAUGUGGAUUAAUUCGAUGCAACGGCGAAGAACCUUACCUGGGUUUGACAUGCACAGGACGCUGGUAGAGAUAUCAGUUCCCUUGUGGCCUGUGUGCAGGUGGUGCAUGGCUGUCGUCAGCUCGUGUCGUGAGAUGUUGGGCUAAGUCCCGCAACGAGCGCAACCCCUAUCUUAUGUUGCCAGCGCGUUAUGGCGGGGACUCGUAAGAGACUGCCGGGGUCAACUCGGAGGAGGGUGGGGAUGACGUCAAGUCAUCAUGCCCCUUAUGUCCAGGGCUUCACACAUGCUACAAUGGCCGGUACAAAGGGCUGCGAAUCCGCGAGGUGGAGCGAAUCCCUUGAAAGCCGGUCUCAGUUCGGAUCGGGGUCUGCAACUCGACCCCGUGAAGUUGGAGUCGCUAG
RNAcentral lists this ribosomal RNA (803 nucleotides) under uncultured Mycobacterium sp. Its description in RNAcentral is "bacterial SSU rRNA". It matches the Rfam family "Bacterial small subunit ribosomal RNA", at positions 541 to 1338 of the family's 1533-position model. The record is from RNAcentral. Lineage: Bacteria; Bacillati; Actinomycetota; Actinomycetes; Mycobacteriales; Mycobacteriaceae.